UGGGGAAUAUUGCACAAUGGGCGAAAGCCUGAUGCAGCGACGCCGCGUGAGGGGAGAAGGUUUUCGGAUUGUAAACCUCUGUCUUCGGGGACGAUAAUGACGGUACCCGAGGAGGAAGCCACGGCUAACUACGUGCCAGCAGCCGCGGUAAAACGUAGGUGGCAAGCGUUGUCCGGAAUUACGGGUGUAAAGGGAGCGCAGGCGGGGUGCCAAGUUGGGUGUGAAAACUAUGGGCUUAACCCAUAGAUUGCACUCAAAACUGGCGCUCUUGAGUGAUGGAGAGGCAGGCGGAAUUCCCGGUGUAGCGGUGGAAUGCGUAGAUAUCGGGAGGAACACCAGUGGCGAAGGCGGCCUGCUGGACAUUAACUGACGCUGAGGCUCGAAAGUGUGGGGAGCAAACAGGAUUAGAUACC
RNAcentral lists this ribosomal RNA (413 nucleotides) under uncultured bacterium. Its description in RNAcentral is "bacterial SSU rRNA". It matches the Rfam family "Bacterial small subunit ribosomal RNA", at positions 355 to 786 of the family's 1533-position model. The record is from RNAcentral.